CGACUUUUGACUUUCAAAGUGCACAAGAGGCUGCCACUGAGAGCACCUGUAGCCCACCUCCCAGAUUUAUUUAUAAUUUAUAAUUCACGGCUUUCCUAGAAAUUCAGAGCCACGUACUGCUUUCGGGAAUUAUCAGAUGAUGGGAGAACUGGAAAGAGCGAGUCAAUUGUUGAAAGAAAAAUCGUUAUCAGGGUUCAAUCUAAGCCGGGAAUAAACAAAAUGGAGACUGCUUUAGAAAGAAGGUUCUUGUUUAUUUAGUUGCCAGAAACUUCAGUGACAGCAGCAAGUUUCUGGGAUGGCUGACCACAUGGAGCUGACCCAGGCAAUGCCUCUCGUAGCUCCAGCUGAAUCUCUGCCUGAAGACUGGUUGAGGCCGUCUGCCAUCUCCAAUCAGCUAGAGCUGUACAUGCCGAUCCUGGGCAGUUCCAGCUGACUUCCACACAAGCCUGUGUGGCGCUGCUGCCGCUUCACCUCAUUCACUUCUACACUUUUUUUUUACAGUGCUGUUCAACCUGUUGUAUGCGUACCACCUGCCAGAUGCUAAUGUACUACUAGUGGGUACGCAUACCACCAGUUGAAAAGCCCUGUCAUGGACCACAGUUCCCAUA
Molecule: long non-coding RNA, 608 nt
Organism: Crotalus tigris (Tiger rattlesnake)
Lineage: Eukaryota; Metazoa; Chordata; Lepidosauria; Squamata; Viperidae
Exons: 3
Source: RefSeq, a predicted model, not a curated record